UCUUUUGCAUUUUGAAGUGUAUGACUUUGAAACUUAACAAUGUUUCGAAAUGUAUUACUUUGAAUAUUAAAUAUUUCUUACGUUUAUGAUUAUGUAAUUAUCUGCCGCACCCCCAAAUGCAAAAUCCUGGAUCCGCCACUGUCGGCCGGCAACCGCUCCCCACCUCAUUUCUUACGUCACCACCACGUUACCUCCUCUCCUUCCUCUCCCUCCCCUCCCACUUCCGUCAGCUGCCUUUCCUAUUGCCGCCGCCUUCUUUGUCUCUUCAAAUCCUGC
RNAcentral lists this long non-coding RNA (276 nucleotides) under Salvia miltiorrhiza (redroot sage). Its description in RNAcentral is "long non-coding RNA (SMIL_LNC001738)". The record is from RNAcentral. Lineage: Eukaryota; Viridiplantae; Streptophyta; Magnoliopsida; Lamiales; Lamiaceae.